This is a non-coding RNA of Arvicanthis niloticus (Nile rat), 2306 nucleotides long. NCBI's taxonomy places the organism in Eukaryota, Metazoa, Chordata, Mammalia, Rodentia, Muridae. The record is from RefSeq and is a predicted model, not a curated record.
AUGACAAAGGGCAAGGUUAUAUGUGAGACACAUCUCCGCAUUGUGUUUUACUCGCGGUUUUGGGAAUCAAGGAGAAACUUAGGAGUCUUAGGCUACGUGGACUUCUCUUCAGAGGUGACAGAUGCCUUGCAUAUCACUGAUGGAGCUCUGAUGGUGGUGGACUAUGUGUCUGGUGUGUGUGUGCAGACAGAAACAGUGCUGAGACAGGCCAUUGCUGAGCGCAUCAAGCCUGUGCUGAUGAUGAAUAAGAUGGACUGGGCCCUGCUAUAGCUUCAGCUGGAGCCUGAGAAGCUCUACUAGACCUUGUAGUGCAUUCUGGAGGAGAAUGUCAAUGUUAUCAUCUCUACCUAUAGCGAGGACGAGAGCAGACCCAUGAUUGACCCUGUCCUGGGCACUGUAUGCUUUGGUUCUGGCCUGCAUGGCUGGGCCUUCACUCUGAAGCAGUUUGCAGAGCCAAGCUAGCAUGGCUAAGUUAGCAGCCAAGGGUAAGGGCUAGCUUGGGGCAGCCGAGCUUGCCAAGAAAGUCAAGGAUAUGAUGAAGCUAUAGGGAGACCUGUACUUUGACCCAGCCAAUUGCAAGUUCAGCAAGUCAGCCAAUAGCCCAGAUGGGAAGAAAGUUCCCUGCACCUUCUUCCAGCUCAUCCUGGACUCCAUCUUCAAGGUGUUCAAUGACAUCAUGAACUUCAGGAAGGAGGAGACAGAUAGAAAAGCUGGAUAUCAAACUAGACAGCGAAGAUAAGUACAAGGAGGGCAAACUAUUGCUCAAGGCUGUUGUGUACCCCUGGCUGUCUGUGGGUUAUGCCCUUCUAUAGAUGAUCACCAUCCACUUACUGUCCUCUGUCACUGCACAGAAGUACCAUUGUGAGCUGCUAUAUGAGGGGCCACCUGAUGAUGAGGCUGCCAUGGGUAUUAAGAGCUGCAAUCCCAAAGGCCCCCUUAUAAUGAACAUUUUUAAGAUGGUGCCAACCUCUAACAAAGGCUGCUUCUCUGCCUUAGGUAGAGUGUUCUUUGGGGUGGUGUCCAUGGGCCUGACCGUCCAGAUCAUGGGCCCCAGCAACAUAACUGGGAAGAAACAAGACCUGUUCCUGAAGCCUAUCCAGAGAACCCUUCUGAUGAUGGGCUGCUAUGUGGAUCUGAUUAAGGAUGUUCCCUGUGGAAACAUUGUAGAGCUGGUUGGAGUGAACCAGUUCCUUGUGAAGACCGGGACCAUCACCACCUUUGGGCACGCUCACAAUAUGCACGUGAUGAAGUUCAGCAUCAUCCACUUCAGGGUGGCAGUGGAGGCCAAGAACCCAGUUGUCCUGUCCAAGCUGGUGGAGGGGCUUAAGCAGCUAGCUAAGUCUGACCCUAUGGUGCAAUGCAUCAUUGAGAAGUCUGGAGAGCUAGCUCUUCAUUGCUGGCAGUUGUGAACUACACCUGGAGAUCUGCCUUAAGUACCUGAAGGAGGAUCAUGCCUACAUCCCCAUCAAGAAAUCUGACCCUGUUGUACUGGGAGACAGUCAGUGAGGAGUGCAUAGUGCUGUGUCUGUCCAAAUCCCCCAACAAGCACAAUGGGCUAUACAUGAAGACCAGGCCCUUCCCUGACAGCCUGGAAGAGGACAUCAAUAAGGGUGAGGUGUCUGCCCACCAGGAGCUCAAACCAUGUGCCUGCUACAUGGCUGAAAAGUAUGAGUGGGAUGUUGCUGAAACCCACAAGAUCUGGUGCUUUGGCUCUGAUGGCACUGGUCCCAAUAUUCUCACCAACAUCACCAAGGGUGCGCAGUAUCUGAAUGAGAUCAAGGACAGUGUGGUGGCCAGUUUCCAGUGUACUACAAAGGAGGGAAUUCUUUGUGAGAACAUGUGUGAUGUCCAUGAUGUGAUCCUGCAUGCUUGAUGCAAUCCAUGGGGAGGUGCCCAGAUCAUCUCCACAGCACACCACUGCCUCUAUGCUGACUGCACAGCUCUGCCUAAUGGAGCCUAUCUAUCUGGUGGAGAUCCAGUGUCCUGAGCAAGUGGUGGGUAGCAUCUGUGGUAUCCUGAACAGGAAGUACAGCCAUCUAUUUAAGGAGUCCUUGGUGGCCAGUACCCCCAUGCUGGUGGUCAAGGCAUACCUGUCUGUCAAUGGGUCCUUUGGCUUCACUACCAACCUUCGAUCCAACACUGGUGGCCAGACCUUCCCCCAGUGCGUGUUUGACCAUUAGCAGAUCCUGCCUGGGAACGUCUUUAGCAACAGCAGCCACCCCAGCCAAGUGGUAGCUGAGACUCAAAAGCUCAAAAGCCUGAAUGAAGGCAUCCCAGCCCUGGACAACUUCCUGGACAAACUGUAG